CCUACGGGAGGCAGCAGUGAGGAAUAUUGGUCAAUGGACGAGAGUCUGAACCAGCCAAGUAGCGUGAAGGAUGACUGCCCUAUGGGUUGUAAACUUCUUUUAUAAAGGAAUAAAACGAGGCACGUGUGCCUUUUUGCAUGUACUUUAUGAAUAAGGAUCGGCUAACUCCGUGCCAGCAGCCGCGGUAAUACGGAGGAUCCGAGCGUUAUCCGGAUUUAUUGGGUUUAAAGGGAGCGUAGAUGGGUUGUUAAGUCAGUUGUGAAAGGUUGCGGCUCAACCGUAAAAGUGCAAUUGAUACUGGCAGUCUUGAGUACAGUUGAGGUAGGCGGAAUUCGUGGUGUAGCGGUGAAAUGCUUAGAUAUCACGAAGAACCCCGAUUGCGAAGGCAGCUUACUAAACUGUGACUGACAUUGAUGCUCGAAAGUGUGGGUAUCAAACAGGAUUAGAUACCCGGGUAGUC
Molecule: ribosomal RNA, 460 nt
Filed under: uncultured bacterium
Lineage: Bacteria
Description: partial 16S ribosomal RNA
Rfam family: Bacterial small subunit ribosomal RNA
Source: RNAcentral